RNAcentral lists this ribosomal RNA (263 nucleotides) under uncultured Ascomycota. Its description in RNAcentral is "partial 18S ribosomal RNA". It matches the Rfam family "Eukaryotic small subunit ribosomal RNA", at positions 619 to 888 of the family's 1831-position model. Lineage: Eukaryota; Fungi; Ascomycota. The record is from RNAcentral.
UUAAAAAGCUCGUAGUUGAACCUUGGGUCUGGCUGGCCGGUCCGCCUCACCGCGAGUACUGGUCCGGCUGGACCUUUCCUUCUGGGGAACCUCAUGGCCUUCACUGGCUGUGGGGGGAACCAGGACUUUUACUGUGAAAAAAUUAGAGUGUUCAAAGCAGGCCUUUGCUCGAAUACAUUAGCAUGGAAUAAUAGAAUAGGACGUGUGGUUCUAUUUUGUUGGUUUCUAGGACCGCCGUAAUGAUUAAUAGGGAUAGUCGGGGG